RNAcentral lists this non-coding RNA (85 nucleotides) under Ornithinibacillus halophilus. RNAcentral describes it as "c-di-GMP sequence". It matches the Rfam family "c-di-GMP-I riboswitch aptamer". From Rfam's summary of the family: GEMM was predicted in a large-scale screen for bacterial structured RNA regulatory elements. Genes associated with GEMM are involved in a diverse array of functions, including chemotaxis regulation, signal transduction, secretion and chitin. Lineage: Bacteria; Bacillati; Bacillota; Bacilli; Caryophanales; Bacillaceae. The record is from Rfam by way of RNAcentral.
CCAAGUCAAGGGCAUACCCAUUGAAAGAUGGGGUCGCAAAGUCACAGGUCUAAAGCUUCAUUGCUAUGACGGCUGGAUUACCGAG